GCCAGGCAUGGUGGCUCAUGCCUGUAAUCCCAGCACCUUGGGAGGCCGAGGUGGGUGGAUCAUCUGAGGUCAGGAGUUCAAGACCAGCCUGGCCAACACGGUGAAACCCCAUCUCUA
This 117-nucleotide small RNA is filed under the name Pongo abelii (Sumatran orangutan). RNAcentral describes it as "Metazoan signal recognition particle RNA (ENSPPYG00000031883.1)". Lineage: Eukaryota; Metazoa; Chordata; Mammalia; Primates; Hominidae. The record is from Rfam by way of RNAcentral.